AUCAUGAAAUAGUAACAUAUCAUACCACUAUUUUUAAAAAAUCAUGAAAACAAACAUGAUUCCGAUGAUAACUAUAUCAUAUCAUAUUAUGAAAACCACAAUCCAACCAUGCUGUUAAAAGAAAAAAAAGCAUCAUCAUUUACUCACUUUAUCUUUCACUCAGAGAAAAACAUAAUUAUUUCUUUCCAUUCAGAAAUCACUGCUCCACUCACAAAAAGAAAAGGACCCAUCUUCCAUUUUGACAUACACCAUCAUCCUCCAUUUUUUCUUUCAUCUUAAAAAAACACUACACACUACCAGCAACAAUACAAUACAAGACAUAGACACCACACCUCACAACAAGAGAGAGAACACACGAAAAAGAAAGAGGGGAUUUUUCCAUUGAAAAACUCAGCAUACACAGUCAUCUUCCUCUCCACAUAACUCACAGCACACCCACAAAAUUCAAUUUUUCUUACAAUACACCAUAUACGCGCCACCACUCACUUCAACCACAAACCAGCAACAGUAGCAGCCAACGAUGCCGGAGUGCGUUGAACUCAACAAUCAGCCGCCUCCACCCUCACGACCUCUCUCUCCAUUCUUCUCCACUUUUUCCUCCUCUUAUUGCUGUUAACUCUCUCCCCUCUGCUUAUGCAACACAAUUUUCUGUCAAUAUUUAUUUAUUUAUUUUUGCGUUUUAUACUGAGUUGGUGGGAGUUCGGAGCUCUCUUGGCUUGCAUUUAAUCGUUUUUUUUUCUUUUUUCAUAUUGUGGUUUCUUUUAAUUUACUUUCUAGUUUUGUGUUGCUUCUCUUUACAAUUUUUAAUGAAUUUUAUGUUGAUUUAAUAGACCGAAGCUUUAUUAUAUAUUAGUUCUAAUUUUUAUUUUUCUAUCUUGUCUGUUUAACCGUUAAUUAGUGAUUUCCAUGUUGAUUGUUAAUUGUUUUGUUUUACUUUUUGGUGUUUAAUAAGUAGUUUUUGUACAAAACAUUUGGUACAACUCAUAUGUCUUGUUCUAUUCCUUAAAAUUGAUUUCUGUUUCCUUAGUACUAUUUUAAUCUUGGAUGAAUUUUAGAUCGUUUAGUUAUAUUUUGUUGCUAAUUUUGUUACUUCUUAAUCAUUUUCGUACCUAUCUUAUUGGUUUGUUGCUAUUUCAUUCUUAAAUAAUAAAUUUGGCCAAUGAAAUUAUCUCUAACUGAACUAUAUUUUGUGCAUAAUUUAUUAUUAUUAUUUUUUUUUUUUGUAUAUUUUUGUCUUGAAGUUUAGUCAUAACAGUGGUCCUACGAUAAUAAUUACUAGUUGGAAAUAUUUCAUCAUUGACUAAAAACAGUAAAGGCUGCUUUACUUUUUAAAUUUGGGAUAUGCUUUAGUAUUCUACUUUGACUUUUCUUGAGGACUUUUAUUCAUCGUGAGUUUUUUAUCUCUUUUUGAAGACAUGUGAUAAAUAUUAUUCUUUUAAAUCAUUUCAUUUCUUCACUGACUUUGCUUUUGCAUCCAUUUUAAUGUGCUAUUUUAUUAUCUUCUUAUAAUAUUGUUGUUAUCAUUUUAUUUCUUUAUUAUGUCAGUUUACUUGAACAAAUACUAUAGUUGAUCGAUGAAGAAAUUCUUCGUCGAUUUUUUAGGCCUUUACAAAUAAAAAAUAAAUAUUUUGUAUAUAAAUACGUAAUAAAAUAAAUAUUUUGAAUGAUGAAAAAAUCUUUAUAAAUAUUUUAAAAUUUUAUUUGACAAUGAAUCUAUUUUUCUUUGUGCAUGGAUAUUUCUUAAAUUUUAUUUCAAUAUCUUUUAAUGAUUUAUUCUUUUUGUAAGAUGUAUUCAUUAAUUUGUAUGGUUUAUUAUUUUAUCCUAUAGUAAUUGUAGAGUUACAGAUUUCUGUAUAAUAAUUUAUCCUAAUUGUACUGUAAUGUAUAUCUAAUUCUAGAUUUUCAAUGUUAUUUAUUAUCUUGUGUUGUUCUUCUCGUAGUGAGUUUUUUAAAUUAUCUAAACUAUCACAUGUACUUUUUUCUAAAUUUUUUAAAGUUUCUUUUAUCCAUAUUAAUUUUUCUUUUAGAUUCUCCAUUAUUUUUCUAAUUCGAUUUUUAUAAUUAAUUUCUUUAUUUAGAUUAUCUUGAUUUUCUCUAGUUUUUCUAAUAUAUUCUAACAUCUCUUAAUCUGAAUAAUAUCCUUCUGGGUAAUUAUCUAGGUAUAACUGUGCUAUCCAAUUUAUGGUUUCAAUUUCAUAGUCUAAU
RNAcentral lists this long non-coding RNA (2205 nucleotides) under Capsicum annuum. RNAcentral describes it as "long non-coding RNA (CANN_LNC007644)". Lineage: Eukaryota; Viridiplantae; Streptophyta; Magnoliopsida; Solanales; Solanaceae. The record is from RNAcentral.